CAGAUAUUCCAAACUUGUUCCUUGGUAACAUUGAUGUCCCCUCCUUUGGCUGUCAUGGAAGCAGAGCUUUCCAUUGAAAGAUCUCACCGGCCGGGGUCAUGUGGUCACGGCUCCACCCGAUUGGGGUUUAUGUGGACCUCCUGGCUUCCUCCUCGGGAGCUUGUUGAAUUGGAUACACCAGUUUCGAUCUCUUGCCUUCUUUGGCAGCCAAAAGGAGGAGGUAUUGACGUGACCAGAAGACAAGUUUGAGUAUCUG
Molecule: non-coding RNA, 256 nt
Organism: Marchantia polymorpha subsp. ruderalis
Lineage: Eukaryota; Viridiplantae; Streptophyta; Marchantiopsida; Marchantiales; Marchantiaceae
Source: the annotation of a GenBank genome assembly